RNAcentral lists this ribosomal RNA (865 nucleotides) under uncultured Bacteroidota bacterium. Its description in RNAcentral is "bacterial SSU rRNA". It matches the Rfam family "Bacterial small subunit ribosomal RNA", at positions 58 to 922 of the family's 1533-position model. The record is from RNAcentral. Lineage: Bacteria; Pseudomonadati; Bacteroidota.
CAAGUCGCGUGCGCAGUUGCCGUAGCAAUACGGUGAUGGGCGCACGGCGCACGGGUGCGUAACACGUGGGCAAUCUGCCCUCCGAUGGGGAAUAACCCCGCGAAAGCGGGGCUAAUACCGCAUAACAUUCCUUGAGCGAUGGUUCGAGGAUUCAAAGCAGUAAUGCGUCGGAGGAGGAGCCCGCGCCCGAUUAGCUAGUUGGUGAGGUAACGGCUCACCAAGGCAAUGAUCGGUAGCUGGUCUGAGUGGAUGAUCAGCCACACUGGAACUGAGACACGGUCCAGACUCCUACGGGAGGCAGCAGUGGGGAAUCUUGCACAAUGGGCGAAAGCCUGAUGCAGCGACGCCGCGUGGGGGAUGAAGCUUUUCGGAGUGUAAACCCCUUUCGCCUGGGACGAAUGCCCGCAAGGGAGUGACGGUACCAGGAUAAGAAGCCCCGGCUAACUACGUGCCAGCAGCCGCGGUAAGACGUAGGGGGCCAGCGUUGUUCGGAAUUACUGGGUGUAAAGGGUUCGUAGGCGGUGUGGCAAGUCGGGAGUGAAAUCUCUGGGCUCAACCCAGAGGCUGCUUCCGAAACUGCUGUGCUUGAGUGUGAGAGAGGCUCGUGGAAUUGCAGGUGUAGCGGUGAAAUGCGUAGAUAUCUGCAGGAACACCCGUGGCGAAAGCGGCGAGCUGGAUCACUACUGACGCUGAGGAACGAAAGCUAGGGGAGCAAACAGGAUUAGAUACCCUGGUAGUCCUAGCCCUAAACGAUCAGGACUUGGGGUGCCGCCCGUUCGGGCGUCGUCCCGGAGCUAACGCGUUAAGUCCUGCACCUGGGGAGUACGGUCGCAAGACUGAAACUCAAAGGAAUUGACGGGGGCCC